GUACACGCUGUGACUAGCAUAUCAAUAAGCGGAGGAAAAGAAACUAACAAGGAUUCCCCUAGUAACGGCGAGUGAGCGGGAAGAGCUCAAAUUUGAAAUCUUAAAGGGUUUCCCUUUACGAAUUGUAGUUUAAAGAAGUGUUUUCUGUUGAGGUUUUGGUAAAAGUUCUUUGGAAUAGGACAUCAUAGAGGGUGAGAAUCCCGUAUUUGACCUUUACUUUCAACUUUGUGAUACACUUUCAAAGAGUCGGAUUGUUUGGGAAUGCAGUCCAAAAUGGGUGGUAAAUUUCAUCUAAAGCUAAAUAUUGGCGAGAGGACCGAUAGCGAACAAGUACCGUGAGGGAAAGAUGAAAAGAACUUUGAAAAGAGAGUUAAACAGUACGUGAAAUUGUCAAAAGGGAAGCGUUUGACACCAGUGUUGUUUUUCUGAAAAUCAAUUAAAGAACUGUUUAUGCUAAGCUGUUUAGACUUUAUCAGCUAUCUGUUUAGUUUUGAGCUUUUCUUUAAUGCACUUUUCAGUUAACAAGUCAACAUCAAUUUCUUUUGCUGUAAAAAAGCUUGAGGAAGGUGGCUUGAGAUUCGUCUUAAGUGUUUAUAGCCUCUUGCCUAUGCAGUCGGAGAGAUUGAGGUCUGCAGCGUAGAUCCUUCGGGGCUAAAUGCAUUUGUGCUAAGUUAUAGCAUUUUAUAGACAACUUGUUGACUAUGAUUUGUCUUGUAGCUUACUCGCUUAUGUUAUUUUACCUACGCUUAGGAUGUUGAUAUGCAUGACUGAUAU
RNAcentral lists this ribosomal RNA (774 nucleotides) under uncultured Neocallimastigales. Its description in RNAcentral is "partial large subunit ribosomal RNA". It matches the Rfam family "Eukaryotic large subunit ribosomal RNA", at positions 22 to 640 of the family's 3401-position model. Lineage: Eukaryota; Fungi; Neocallimastigomycota; Neocallimastigomycetes; Neocallimastigales. The record is from RNAcentral.